Molecule: ribosomal RNA, 702 nt
Filed under: Triticum aestivum (bread wheat)
Lineage: Eukaryota; Viridiplantae; Streptophyta; Magnoliopsida; Poales; Poaceae
Description: partial small subunit ribosomal RNA
Source: RNAcentral
AUGUGCGGGAAUCCAUCCGAUUUUGGAGGCUCCCCUUUCCGUUGGCGGAAGGCUUCCAUUUCCCGCUUCCACUCCCCGCCGCCACCGCGGCACAUCCACGCCCCUUGCUACUGCUUCCAGCUGCCCCGCGCCGCCCGAAAGCUCUGGCACCCCGCGCUGCAUCCACUCCAGCAACUUUCGUCUACGGGGGUGACCAUUUGCGUCCGCGGUUCGCGUCCACCACCGGCGCCAUGGAUCCACCUAGGAGCUUGGCGCACGGGCUCAUUCCUUGCAGAUCCGGUUGGUUCCGGCGACUAUGGAUUGGAGUUUGUCUCAUUGUCUUCGUCUGACGAUUCAGACAAAGAAGAGUUGAUCCUCGACAAUGAUGAUGACAACCUAGUGUUGUUGCAUCUAGUUGAGGAAUUUGAGGCGGGGCUGAAGAAAAAGUGGCGUGGAUCCAUGGGCGGUCGGCUAUGCACUCCCCGCAACCGAGCUCUCGGUGACAAAAUGCUCAUGAAGGACUACUUCUCUGAGGUACCGACGUAUCCGGCUCACCUCUUCCGUAGGCGAUAUCGAACAUAUAGCCGUGUGAAGCCUGCCAGGGACGCAAAUGAGACCAAUGCAUUUCUUGAUACCUACGAGAAGAUCGAGAACCAUGAUUUGCACAACCAACUCCAACAUGUUCUUAUUGAGCAUCUGUGGCAGCUCUAUGGGGGGAGAUAG